AGCAAAUUGUAGACCUAUUUACAAAGUCAUUACCUGUUCCUUUGUUCCAUCAAUUCACUACCAAGUUGGAUCUGAUUGAUCUUCAUCAAGCUUCAACUUGAAGGGGUGAUGUAGAAUUGUUAUGCUGAGUCAGCUAUUGUUAAAAUUAGUUAGAUGAGCUGGCAAAUAAUUUCGGUUCUAGAUGAACUGGCAGGUAGCUUUAGUACUUUGUUUUGUAUAUAAAGGUGCUAGGAGAGCUCUAU
RNAcentral lists this long non-coding RNA (242 nucleotides) under Carica papaya (papaya). Its description in RNAcentral is "long non-coding RNA (CPAP_LNC005736)". The record is from RNAcentral. Lineage: Eukaryota; Viridiplantae; Streptophyta; Magnoliopsida; Brassicales; Caricaceae.